UCUUAGCGAAGUCUGGGGAUGUAAUAAGCUGCUGCCUGAGGCGUGGUGGUGAGACCCAGAUGCCCCGUCUGUCCAAGUGGUUCAGCCACGGAGCCCACGGCCCAGUUCAGAGGUGAAAGAGAGCCAGACCUGAAUUUGGAAAGACUGAAAUGAUCAGUGUUUACUCAGCACUGCAGGAUUAUGUCCCUGGGACAACCUGUACAGCAAAAAGCUAGUUAAG
Molecule: long non-coding RNA, 220 nt
Filed under: Takifugu rubripes (torafugu)
Lineage: Eukaryota; Metazoa; Chordata; Actinopteri; Tetraodontiformes; Tetraodontidae
Description: lncRNA (ENSTRUG00000032061.1)
Source: RNAcentral